CUUCAUUUGACAAAACUCUUAAUGACCAGACUACUGCUGCCCUGGACUCUUGAGUCUUCCUUCUCUGGGGAGCAGAGCAUCAGCUUUUCCACUUGUGCACCAGUAGCUUCGUGGAGGAUUUCGUGGCAGAGCCUACAGUGGAGACUAAUUGAUUCUGUGUUUUCAGACAUAGUGACUUCCCAGGAGUCAAACCUGCAAGUUUGCUACUACUGAACAUCUAACUCAGACAUCUAAGAAAGAUUCAGCAUGUGAGUUAUCUCAAUUUCUCUUUUAAGGGUUACAGUUGUA
RNAcentral lists this long non-coding RNA (288 nucleotides) under Mus spicilegus (steppe mouse). RNAcentral describes it as "lncRNA (ENSMSIG00000014672.1)". Lineage: Eukaryota; Metazoa; Chordata; Mammalia; Rodentia; Muridae. The record is from RNAcentral.